RNAcentral lists this long non-coding RNA (957 nucleotides) under Eptatretus burgeri (inshore hagfish). RNAcentral's name for it is "lncRNA (ENSEBUG00000017294.1)". The record is from RNAcentral. Lineage: Eukaryota; Metazoa; Chordata; Myxini; Myxiniformes; Myxinidae.
CCCCCCCCCCCCCCCCCCCCCCCCCCCCCCCCCCCCCCCCCCCCCCCCCCCCCCCCCCCCCCCCCCCCCCCCCCCCCCCCCCGAAGAGUUGCUCCUCUUAAUUGGAAAGGUCAUCUGUGACAGAUCGUGCGGCUCGGAAUUGCAGGAAUGUGGAUCCUUUUUUGGUGCUCCGGCGACCCAGGUUCCUUCUGGUCUUGCUUGUCCUGUUGUGGGUGCACCUCGGGUGCACGACCGAAAUCUCCGAGGAGCCGGACUGCUGACAUUUCUUCCUCCAAGCAACCGGGUCGUGUGGUCCAGUGCCCCCCACAGUUGAUGGGCCCCCUACGUGGUCAUCUCCAAGACGUCAUCUGGAAUCCCCCAAACAUCAUCCCUUCAUCAGGAAACAUUUUUCAACGAUUUGUUCCUCGUGGGCAGAGGAGUCAGGUGGGUGAGCAAAGGAAUCGUUCUCAAUCAGGAGUGGAAGAUCCAUCUGGAAGCCGUGGGCCACAACAAUGGGCUCUCCGAAACUCCCCACACUCAUCAAUGAACAUCAGUGGUGGUUUCACGAGUUGCACUUUACAACCCAAACCUGCUCCAAACCUGGGGGGGGGGGGGGGGGGGGGGGGGGGGGGGGGGGGGGGGGGGGGGGGGGGGGGGGGGGGGGGGGGGGGGGGGGGGGGGGGGGGGGGGGGGGGGGGGGGGGGGGGGGGGGGGGGGGGGGGGGGGGGGGGGGGGGGACCACGGACGACCCUCGCUGUCGGAGUUUGGGAACCACACCAGCAUUACCACGUUGGAGAGAGGAUGACAUCUCACGAUCUUUGUGUGGACUGCUGCCGCCCUUCCUCAGAAACUACAAAACGGUCUCUUCGUCCACAGUAGACUCCACCGGCUCGAGAUUAGAGUUCAUUAUUGGGUUUAUAUAGAAUUGAUCUCGCAAUUAUUUCAGUUUGUCUUUGUUAUCAUUUCGCUGGAUCUUGC